CUCUUAAACCCUUGUGAGAUUAUGCUUAUGUUGAACCCUAGGUUGAUUUGUGGUGAUUUAUAUGUAUAUAGUUUGAUUAUUGUGGCUUUGGGAGCUUUUGGAACUUAUUUGUGCUUGUUGGAGUGGAUUUGAAAGCUUAGAUUAUGGUUGGAAGCUUGUUGGUGCUCAUUUUGAGUUUGGGUGCAUAAAGGGAAUCGGCCAAGAUGCAGGUCGCAACCCACCUCGGUGAGUUGCUUUGGUUGGUGACAGAAGCAGAGAAUCUUGGAUCAUUUUGGAGUUCUUUUUGGUUUAUUUUGUUUAUACAUCUCUCCUUUUGUAUUUUGUUUUGCCUAGAGGCAUGUAUUUGAGAGAACAAAACUUGUAUAAGCUGUUUUCACUGUAUGGUUUUGUAUAUCAGUAUAUGGCUAACCGGCUUAAACUCUGCGAGUCGUGACUAGUUCCCUAUGAUAUUAUAUACUUAUCUUUUGUUAUAUCUUCUCUGUUUCUUAUGCCUUAAGCUAGUAGCUCCGUUAGUACGUUUGUGCUUCGAAAUUCUGUUUUUGAGCUAUAUCUUUCAUCGGGCUUCUAGAU
Arachis ipaensis is the source of this 570-nucleotide non-coding RNA. The record is from RefSeq and is a predicted model, not a curated record. NCBI's taxonomy places the organism in Eukaryota, Viridiplantae, Streptophyta, Magnoliopsida, Fabales, Fabaceae.